RNAcentral lists this ribosomal RNA (253 nucleotides) under uncultured bacterium. Its description in RNAcentral is "partial 16S ribosomal RNA". It matches the Rfam family "Bacterial small subunit ribosomal RNA", at positions 524 to 776 of the family's 1533-position model. The record is from RNAcentral.
UACGAAGGGGGCUAGCGUUGCUCGGAUUGACUGGGCGUAAAGGGCGCGUAGGCGGUGUGUCAAGUCAGGCGUGAAAGCCCCGGGCUCAACCUGGGAACCGCGCUUGAGACUGGCACGCUAGAGUUCGGGAGAGGAUGGUGGAAUUCCCAGUGUAGAGGUGAAAUUCGUAGAUAUUGGGAAGAACACCGAUGGCGAAGGCAGCCAUCUGGACCGACACUGACGCUGAGGCGCGAAAGCGUGGGGAGCAAACAGG